UAUAUUAAUUUUUGGCUGACUAUAAUAAUUUUUGGCUACCUUCAAUAUGAAGAGAGUGUUGCUUGUAGAAGACUUUGCUUGUUUCCAAGAUGGGUUCAUGAAAUUUGGGUAUCUCAGGGCUCUCUUUGGCAUUGCUUAAGGUAGGGGACCACAAGGUAGUUAACCAUGGAGUCAAGUGCUCAAUGUAAUCAUGUAUAUAACAUAUCACAUUCCCUCUGUCAACUGAUUCUGUGAUUCUAGAAAAGGGAGACCAACUGAGGGAGCACCUUACACAUGCAUGUGUUCAUAAUAUCCAUGUUUGCUUAGGGAUUCCUCAGCUCGGUUCUAUUCAUACACCAGUUUGACCUUUCAUGAGGUUGCUCGUAGAGAUGGGUUGGCCCAUUUGGAUGGCCUUGAGUGGGUUUAGUCGACUUUGGUUUUAUUGACGAGUUCAGCCCAGUUCAGUACCAUGCUUGAGCUGGCCUAUUCCUUUAUGCCCUUGGCCCAAGUGCUUCAAGACUUGAGAGGAUAAUUGUGUGGAGAUAGGCUCAAUAGUUUAGCCCACGUAGGUAUUUGCUCUAUAUCGAAUGGCCAUUUGGGUUUAGGUUUAGUGGUUUCGACUAACCCAAGGCUUGGAUCCGCCCCAUUUAUAUUUUGCCCCUUCAUUUGCCCCUUAGCUCACACUAAGGUUCUCUUGGUAAGAGCUACUAAUCGGUACUUCAACCGUUGCGUCGCUUCUAAUCUUUUUCAGUUUGGUCUUGGUGGCAGUUCAAAUUCUAACACAUGCACUUCGCAUGUGUCCUUUUGCAAGGACACAUGACAGCAUGGCAUUGCUGCGUAGAGGUAAUGCAUCAUUCCUCUACAAAAGGACGUGACUCGUACCAUCACAUCUAUUAAGGGUAAUAAAAACCCUAGGGGUUGUCCUUUCAACUUUCCAACUAUUCCCAAAACCCGUCUUCUUUCCUCUUUGGUUCAUAUAGUGUGCUACUCCGACUCGUCUCCGGUGCUGUUGGUCUUUAGAUAUCGCCGUUCCUUUCUGAUUCCAAACUUCAGAAUCCACAUUUUUCCUUGACGAUCGUUGCUCAUCCAUCGAAUCUCUAUAAGUUCCCUUGAAUCUCUUUUUCUUUGUGUUUUUCAGUCUCUGUUGCCAUUCUUGGGCCUUGUGCCGUUGUUUUCGACGAUAUGCACCAUUUUCCUGACAUUUUCUUAGAGUUGCUUUGUUUUUCCUUCUUUGGGUCUGGGUCAUGGGCAAGUUUCGUGCCUUAAUCGAUACUCUAGAGGCAAUGUCCCUAUUUCGUCGUGAUUAUGGGAUUUCGGACGAUGUUACCCUUGCGUUGGCAAAGGAUGAUGCCAAAUGCAUGGGAACAAGGUCUACCUCUGCGUUUCCUGUUGUUGUCAUUGUCAAAGAAGGGCUAAUGUGACAACCAAACCAUUUAUGCACAAUGCAUAUUCUAUUAUUCUUACAUUCAUGCUACAUGUUAUAUGCUUAUGUGAAAUAUAGCUUGUUAGCAUUAGGAAGAGAAUAAGAAACUAAUUUGAAAAGUUAUGUCUAGGAUUAAUUUAUUUUGUGCUUUGAGUUAGGGGAAUGACUUUAGGACUUGAUUUGAGAACAAUAGCAUGUGCCUUAGUACUAAUUGAGGAGCUUAAGAACCUUAGUCUAUUGUGCUUGUCCAUUUCAUUUUAUAAAAAUUUUGUUAAUCGGGAUUAGUGUUAAUUAAGUAUAAUUAGUGAGUCUUAAUUAGGAUUAAGUAUGAUUAAGCCAAACCUUGAUUAAUUAGUAUUAAUCUUAAUUAAACUAAGCCAAGUGAGUAGGAUUAGCCAAUUAAUGAAGCUAGAAAACUUUUCCAACUUUUGCCCUACCUCACCAAAUAAAAGCUUAGCCCAAACCAAAUAAAUAAAAUCUGCAGCCUAGAACUAACGUGAAGGAGCUAGAGAAAAGAGGAAUAAAUAAGAAAAAGAGAGAAAGAAGGGAAAAAAAGAAGAACUCAAGGGAACUUCAUCAAAUUCAUUCUAAAAAGGUGUUCUAAGGUUAAGCCUUGAAGAAGAAGUUAAACCCUCGUUCACGAAGCCAAUUGUGAUGACGAAGAUCAAGUUCAAGAAGAGAGAUCGAGUUAGAAGUCUUUUCCUUUUGUUUUUGUAAUUUUGGAAGUGACAAUCUAGAGAUGAUGGCUUUGUAUAUAAGUUUUGGUUUUUGUUUAGGUGUAUAUUCAUAAUAUUGUACUUUUCUUUUGUUGUUGGACUUGUAAAUCUCAAAGAUAAUAAAUGAGAAGUUGUUUGUUUGUUUUA
Molecule: long non-coding RNA, 2265 nt
Organism: Camellia sinensis
Lineage: Eukaryota; Viridiplantae; Streptophyta; Magnoliopsida; Ericales; Theaceae
Source: RefSeq, a predicted model, not a curated record